Molecule: non-coding RNA, 160 nt
Organism: Brassica rapa (field mustard)
Lineage: Eukaryota; Viridiplantae; Streptophyta; Magnoliopsida; Brassicales; Brassicaceae
Source: Rfam
AUAGCCUCCGAAUAGCGAGAAGGUGCAAUAUCUGAAUACUUUCUGGUUCAGACAGAGGCUUAUUUUAAAACUCGAAUCAGUUUUUGAGGGUGAAAAAAAGCUUUACUCAUUUUUACCCAUCGAAUCUUUCAUUCCUUUUAUUGGAUAGAUUCGAAUAUCU